RNAcentral lists this long non-coding RNA (2077 nucleotides) under Homo sapiens (human). RNAcentral's name for it is "novel transcript". The record is from RNAcentral. Lineage: Eukaryota; Metazoa; Chordata; Mammalia; Primates; Hominidae.
AAACAAGACAGCCAUUCUCGCUCCUCUCAGACCACUGCUCCGAGAGGCUUGCUCUCCGACGGGUCCUACAUGCUAAAUAACUCCUAUUCUUAGUUCACGUUGACUUGGUGGCUCGAGCCAGGCGACUUCUUGGCAGAUACUGCAUCUUCAGCCAGGAGAAGUUGGCUUAGUACAAAAGGGCUUUUGAAGCGGAAACUACAAGAAGAUGCAUCUGUCUUAACAAAAAAUAAUAAACCAAGAAAAUAAAAGAUAUGGGAUCCUAGAAAUAAAAGGUGCAACACAAGAGAGAGAUAAAGAAAAACAUUGACAGCCUCUCUAUGAAGAAAGACCCAAAGUAACAACUUUGCAACAGCUCUAGGGAAUAAUUUGUUCAGAUAAGAGUAACUCAGGAGACUCCAAGAGCGAUUUUCGAGAAGAUUAAAUCUAUAGAAUACCUAAUAUGUUUGCACUUGUAAAGAAGAGUUUUAUACUACUUGGAGAGAAUUUAGCAGUUCAUCUAUCAGUAUCAUUUGCAUAGAUAUAAUGUUCGCUAAAUAUUUCUAUAGCCUAAGGAAGAUGGUGAAUGAGAAGUGUGCUUAUGUGUGGCAAGGAAGAAGGGGAUUUACCAAGUGGGAAGUCCAUGGUCAAAUGCUUAAGACUUAGUAAGGCAUUUACCAAGUGGGAAGUCAAUGGGCAAAUGCUUAAGACGUAGUAAUCAGAAUGCAAAUACAUAAGUACAUGUAGAGGCAAAACAUAGCAUUGUAGUUAUGUGCGCAGAUGCUGGAGUGAGACUCUCUGGGUUCAAAUCCCAGCCCUACCAAUUACUAGUCAUGUGACUUUGGGCAAAUUGUUGACCUAUUUGAAACUCAGUUUUCUCGUAUGAAAACUGUGAUUAUAAUUACUCAUCUCAUAAGAUUUUUAUAUGAACUAACUUUCUAAAAUACUUAGAAUAGUACUUGUCACAAAGCCAGCAGUAUAAAAGUGUUGACCAUUAAAAUAAUGUCAUUAGAAACAUGGAGAUAAAUAUUAAAAGAAUAAGCUAAAACAGAAAUUGGUUGUGACAGGAGGAGAAUGAUGCACUGGGAAUAUUAUUGCUUUUCAUAACUUGGAGAAAUUUGAUUUUUUAAAGUUUGUGUUCACAUAUAAUUAAAAAAAUAGAAAACUAAAUUUUAAGUGACAAGAAUUAUAUUCUUCCAUUUAGUCAGGUGCUGGAUAAAGUAGCUUUUUUUUAGGUGUCUGCAAAUAUUAUGACAAUUAGGACAAGAAAAGUGCAUGCUAUUUUCAACCAGUUUGUAUUAAUGAUGAUCCUUAGAUGUAAGCAACAGAAGUUGAUGAAGCUGAUUUAAAUACAAUGGUUUAGUUGAAAAGAUGUUGGGGAGAUCACAGAAUGAAUUGCAAUGCUGGAGAACCAGUUAUGAAAACAUACAAGCAUGAAGGGAGGCUGCAUAGCCAUAACUAUGUCCUGAAUCACACCAAAUACCAUCAGGUGAGGAUUUCACAUCUAUCGCCAUUGGACUCGCCAUACCGUAAUUUAUACAUUUACUGACCUGGCCGCCCCAACUCUUCCUGGAAAUCAGAUGCUGCUGCCACCACAGCCAUAUCAGAAAGAAGCCUCCUCUCGUGUUGUUUUAUGUCACUAGUCCCACUUCAAGUCAUAGCCAAGUGCAUAAAUUGAUCAGGGAGGCUGGGAAGACAAACUACUUGGUGUAUAUAUAAUGUCUGUGGUAGGAGGCCAACUCUACCGCCGUCCCAGAGCCAUAAGAUAGGUAAUUUUCCAAUUACAGACUAGAUGGAAUAGACUAUAUUCUUAUAUUAAUUGCUUCUUCAUAGAAGUACAUUUAUUUACCAUCAUUGAUUCAAGUUAGCAAUAUGACUAACUUUGGCCAAUUAAAUAUAAGUAACAGUCAUUCUUCACUUCAGGACAGAAAUACUAAGAACCAGGAUAUGGUUCUCCCAAUCUACUAUUCCCUGCCAGGCAAAUCUGAAGGCAUGUUGAAAGGAUGCUUCUGUCAGCCUGAGUCCCUAAAUGACUAUGAUAAGCAAAGCUUCCUUGCCAACUUGUGAUGGACAUGUAUUAUGAGCAAGAAAUAAAUGUGAU